CAGGGUGUAUCAAAAAAAGCGCAAUCCUCGAUUGAAAUGUAAAUUGCUAAACAAAUAAUAGACGAAAACGUUAAAGUUUACAUUCAUUUUAAAGCGUAGCCACUCAGCUUUCUAACAGUGGGUGGUUUCUUAAAUUUGACUCAUUGGUUCGCGGGUAAUAAUACUUUACGUUAUUGCGAUUGGAGAUUAAAAAAAUUGAGAUGCAAUAACAAAUCGUUCUCAUGAAAAUAACUGAUUUUUUCAUUAAAACAAAAAAAUGUUGCAUUUUAUUAAAUGGAUUGUGACAAUAAGUAUAAUUACGGCUUUUCUUCCACUAUUUUUAACUCAGUUUGAAAUCUCAAAUGCGAUAUAAUUUUGGCUUGGACCAUCUAACCUGACUGACAUCAACUUGCUAUAAUUUCUGUUUACAUUACAUCGCAAUUCGAUGACACUCUGGCUCAGACGCCAGAAUGUUUUGACGAUUUUUAGCAUUCGUUUAGGAUUUUCAAACAACCUGGUCUCUUUUAAAAUACUUUUAAUUUGUUCUUACGUGGUUUUCCAGAUGUAGUGACGACAACAUUAAAGUUUAGAGAAGAAAAUUCUAACAUUUAAACCGACUAAACAAUAACAUAGUAAACUUGCAUAAUUAAACAGCAACUAAAAAUGAUAGGUUUUACUAAAUCUUUUCCUGUGCAAUUAUUACUAGCAUUGGAGACAAG
This 698-nucleotide long non-coding RNA is filed under the name Paramuricea clavata. Lineage: Eukaryota; Metazoa; Cnidaria; Anthozoa; Malacalcyonacea; Plexauridae. The record is from RNAcentral.